RNAcentral lists this ribosomal RNA (447 nucleotides) under uncultured bacterium. RNAcentral describes it as "bacterial SSU rRNA". It matches the Rfam family "Bacterial small subunit ribosomal RNA", at positions 355 to 825 of the family's 1533-position model. The record is from RNAcentral.
UGGGGAAUAUUGCACAAUGGAGGAAACUCUGAUGCAGCAACGCCGCGUGGAGGAUGACACAUUUCGGUGCGUAAACUCCUUUUAUGUGAGAAGAUAAUGACGGUAUCACAUGAAUAAGCACCGGCUAACUCCGUGCCAGCAGCCGCGGUAAUACGGAGGGUGCAAGCGUUACUCGGAAUCACUGGGCGUAAAGCGCGCGCAGGCGGCCUUUCAAGUUGGAUGUGAAAUCCUAUGGCUCAACCAUAGAACUGCAUCCAAAACUGUUAGGCUAGAGUCUGGGAGGGGAAGAUGGAAUUAGUUGUGUAGGGGUAAAAUCCGUAGAGAUAACUAGGAAUACCAAAAGCGAAGGCGAUCUUCUGGAACAGUACUGACGCUGAGGCGCGAAAGCGUGGGGAGCAAACAGGAUUAGAUACCCCCGUAGUCCCUGAGCGGGCUGGCAAGGCGCAU